CCUACGGGCGGCAGCAGUGAGGAAUAUUGGUCAAUGGGCGCGAGCCUGACCCAGCCAAGUAGCGUGAAGGAUGACUGCCCUACGGGUUGUACACUUCUUUUAUAAAGGCAUAAAGUGAGGCACGUGUGCCUUUUUGUCUGUACUUUAUGAAUACGGAUCGGCUAACUCCGUGCCAGCAGCCGCGGGAAUACGGAGGAUCCGAUCGUUAUCCGGAUGUCUUGGGUUUAAAGGGAGCGUAGAUGGGUUGUUAAGUCAGUUGUGAAAGUUUGCGGCUCAACCGUAAAAUUGCAAUUGAUACUGGCAGCCUUGAGUACAGUUGAGGUAGGCGGAAUUCGUGGUGUAGCGGUGAAAUGCUUAGAUAUCACGAAGAACUCCGAUUGCGAAGGCAGCCUACUAAACUGCCACUGACAUUGAUGCUCGAAAGUGUGGGUAUCAAACAGGAUUAGAUACCCCUGUAGUC
This 460-nucleotide ribosomal RNA is filed under the name uncultured bacterium. RNAcentral's name for it is "partial 16S ribosomal RNA". It matches the Rfam family "Bacterial small subunit ribosomal RNA", at positions 338 to 795 of the family's 1533-position model. The record is from RNAcentral.